Molecule: ribosomal RNA, 580 nt
Filed under: uncultured bacterium
Lineage: Bacteria
Description: bacterial SSU rRNA
Rfam family: Bacterial small subunit ribosomal RNA
Source: RNAcentral
GUCGAACGGUACAGGAAGAAACUUGUUUUCUUUGCUGACGAGUGGCGGACGGGUGAGUAAUGCUUGGGGAGCUGCCCAAUGGUGGGGGAUAACAGUUGGAAACGACUGCUAAUACCGCAUGUUGUCUUUGGAUAAAAGCAGGGGAUCUUCGGACCUUGCGCCAUUAGAUGCGCCCAAGUGAGAUUAGCUAGUUGGUGGGGUAAUGGCUCACCAAGGCGACGAUCUCUAGCUGGUCUGAGAGGAUGAUCAGCCACACUGGAACUGAGACACGGUCCAGACUCCUACGGGAGGCAGCAGUGGGGAAUAUUGCACAAUGGGCGAAAGCCUGAUGCAGCCAUGCCGCGUGUGUGAAGAAGGCCUUCGGGUUGUAAAGCACUUUCAGUUGGGAGGAAAGGGUGUGCGCUAAUAUCGUGCAUCUGUGACGUUACCAACAGAAGAAGCACCGGCUAACUCCGUGCCAGCAGCCGCGGUAAUACGGAGGGUGCGAGCGUUAAUCGGAAUUACUGGGCGUAAAGCGUGCGCAGGCGGCUGAAUAAGCUAGAUGUGAAAGCCCAGGGCUCAACCUUGGAAUUGCAUUUAG